UGGGGAAUUUUGGACAAUGGGGGGAAACCCUGAUCCAGCCAUCCCGCGUGUGCGAUGAAGGCCUUCGGGUUGUAAAGCACUUUUGGCAGGAAAGAAACGUCGCGGGUUAAUACCCCGCGGAACUGACGGUACCUGCAGAAUAAGCACCGGCUAACUACGUGCCAGCAGCCGCGGUAAUACGUAGGGUGCAAGCGUUAAUCGGAAUUACUGGGCGUAAAGCGUGCGCAGGCGGUUCGGAAAGAAAAGAUGUGAAAUCCCAGAGCUUAACUUUGGGAACUGCAUUUUUAAACUACCGGGCUAGAGUGUGUCAGAGGGAGGUGGAAUUCCGCGUGUAGCAGUGAAAUGCGUAGAUAUGCGGAGGAACACCGAUGGCGGAGGCAGCCUCCUGGGAUAACACUGACGCUCAUGCACGAAAGCGUGGGGAGCAAACAGGAUUAGAUACCCGUGGUAGUCCACGCCCUAAACGAUGUCAACUAGCUGUUGGGGGUCUUCGGACCUUGGUAGCGCAGCUAACGCGUGAAGUUGACCGCCUGGGGAGUACGGUCGCAAGAGUUAAAACUUAAAUGAA
RNAcentral lists this ribosomal RNA (568 nucleotides) under uncultured bacterium. RNAcentral describes it as "partial 16S ribosomal RNA". It matches the Rfam family "Bacterial small subunit ribosomal RNA", at positions 355 to 909 of the family's 1533-position model. The record is from RNAcentral.